This 74-nucleotide transfer RNA is filed under the name Thermoprotei archaeon. RNAcentral's name for it is "tRNA-Arg". It matches the Rfam family "tRNA". Rfam says of the family: Transfer RNA (tRNA) molecules are approximately 80 nucleotides in length. The record is from RNAcentral. Lineage: Archaea; Thermoproteati; Thermoproteota; Thermoprotei.
CCCGUAGCGCAGGUGGACAGCGCGGCGGCCUUCUAAGCCGCAGGUCCCGGGUUCGAGUCCCGGCGGGGCCGCCA